AUAAGCACCGGCUAACUACGUGCCAGCAGCCGCGGUAAUACGUAGGGUGCAAGCGUUAUCCGGAAUUAUUGGGCGUAAAGGGCUCGUAGGCGGUUCGUCGCGUCCGGUGUGAAAGUCCAUCGCUUAACGGUGGAUCCGCGCCGGGUACGGGCGGGCUUGAGUGCGGUAGGGGAGACUGGAAUUCCCGGUGUAACGGUGGAAUGUGUAGAUAUCGGGAAGAACACCAAUGGCGAAGGCAGGUCUCUGGGCCGUUACUGACGCUGAGGAGCGAAAGCGUGGGGAGCGAACAGGAUUAGAUACCCUGGUAGUCCACGCCGUAAACGGUGGAUGCUGGAUGUGGGGCCCGUUCCACGGGUUCCGUGUCGGAGCUAACGCGUUAAGCAUCCCGCCUGGGGAGUACGGCCGCAAGGCUAAAACUCAAAGAAAUUGACGGGGGCCCGCACAAGCGGCGGAGCAUGCGGAUUAAUUCGAUGCAACGCGAAGAACCUUACCUGGGCUUGACAUGUUCCCGACGAUCCCAGAGAUGGGGUUUCCCUUCGGGGCGGGUUCACAGGUGGUGCAUGGUCGUCGUCAGCUCGUGUCGUGAGAUGUUGGGUUAAGUCCCGCAACGAGCGCAACCCUCGCCCCGUGUUGCCAGCGGAUUAUGCCGGGAACUCACGGGGGACCGCCGGGGUUAACUCGGAGGAAGGUGGGGAUGACGUCAGAUCAUCAUGCCCCUUACGUCCAGGGCUUCACGCAUGCUACAAUGGCCGGUACAACGGGAUGCGACAGUGCGAGCUGGAGCGGAUCCCUGAAAACCGGUCUCAGUUCGGAUCGCAGUCUGCAACUCGACUGCGUGAAGGCGGAGUCGCUAGUAAUCGCGAAUCAGCAACGUCGCGGUGAAUGCGUUCCCGGGCCUUGUACACACCGCCCGUCAAGUCAUGAAAGUGGGCAGCACCCGAAGCCGGUGGCCUAACCCCUUGCGGGAGGGAGCCGUCUAAGGUGAGGCUCGUGAUUGGGACUAAGUCGUAACAAGGUAGCCGUACCGGAAGGUGCGGCUG
RNAcentral lists this ribosomal RNA (1040 nucleotides) under human gut metagenome. Its description in RNAcentral is "bacterial SSU rRNA". It matches the Rfam family "Bacterial small subunit ribosomal RNA", at positions 486 to 1520 of the family's 1533-position model. The record is from RNAcentral.